UUACUAAUUUUAUUAUGAUUUUAUUUUGUUUUAUGAAUUUUUAAUAAAAUUAAUUUUAUUUUUUAUUGUCUAAGUAUAUUUUGUAGAAUUGAUUAUUUUAAUUAUAGUUUAUUAGUAAUGUAAUUGGAUUAUGAAAUAUUUUAUUAGUUUUAUAAAGUAAAUUUAAUUUAUUGUACCUUUUGUAUCAGGGUUUAUUAAAAUUUAAAUAAUUAUUUAUUUGUCUCGAUUUGGGUUGAUUUACAAUCAAUUUAUUUUUAAUGUAUCAUAAUUAUGUUUAAAUUGAUUGUUGAAAUGAAACGUUAAUCGUUUCCUAAGAUAUCUAGUUUCUUAAGAAAAAAUUCAAUUUUUAAAAGUUUUUGUUUUUUGUUUAUUCUAAAAUUUAAAGAAUAUAAACUUAUUAAUUCUUUAGGGGAUAAGCUCUGAAGUUAAAUAUUCUAUAAUUUGUGUAUAUUUUUAUAAUAGUAAGCUUUAAACCAGCUAUCUUUAAGAUUACGUUUCAUUUCAUUAAUUGUUUUAAUGAUUUUAUAAUGAUUUUAGAUUUUUUAUUAAGAUUUUAAAUUUAAUUUUAAAAUUAAGAAAAUAAUGAUAGAAUAAGUAUAGAAUUUAUUGUUUUAAAUUAAAUAAUUUAAAAUUUAUUAUAAGGAACUAGGCAAAUAUUUGAUUUCCGCCUGUUUAUCAAAAACAUGUCUUCUUGAUAAUAUUUUGAAGUCUUACCUGCUCACUGACUAUUUUUGAAGAGCCGCGGUAUUUUGACCGUGCAAAGGUAGCAUAAUCAUUAGUUUCUUAAUUAGUAACUGGUAUGAAUGGUUUGACGAGAAAUCAACUGUCUCUUAAUAAUUUCUUGAAUUUAACUUUUAAGUUAAAAGGCUUAAAUUUUUCUUUAGGACGAGAAGACCCUAUAGAGCUUAACAUUUUAAUUAUUUAUGAUUUUUGAAGGUCUUUUUAUAUUUAGUAAUAAUGUUUUGUUGGGGUGACAUAAAGGAUAAAUAAACUCUUUAUUAUGAAUUCAUUAAUUUAUGUUAUUUUGAUCCAUAAUUUAUGAUCAUAAGAUUAAGUUACCUUAGGGAUAACAGCGUAAUUAACUUGGAGAGCUCAUAUUGAUAAGUUAGAUUGCGACCUCGAUGUUGGAUUAAGAUAAGUUUUUGGUGAAGUAGCUUAAUAACUAGGUCUGUUCGACCUUUAAAUUCUUACAUGAUCUGAGUUCAGACCGGCGUAAGCCAGGUCGGUUUCUAUCCUAAGUUAAUUUAUUUAAAUUAGUACGAAAGGACCAUUUAAAUGGAAGAUUUUUUAUUUAUUGAUUAAAAUUAAUGUUAU
RNAcentral lists this ribosomal RNA (1314 nucleotides) under Abracris sp. OR222. RNAcentral's name for it is "16S ribosomal RNA". The stretch from base 879 to 1239 matches the Rfam family "Archaeal large subunit ribosomal RNA", at positions 2150 to 2716 of the family's 2987-position model. The record is from RNAcentral. Lineage: Eukaryota; Metazoa; Arthropoda; Insecta; Orthoptera; Acrididae.